RNAcentral lists this ribosomal RNA (499 nucleotides) under uncultured Desulfobulbus sp. RNAcentral describes it as "bacterial SSU rRNA". It matches the Rfam family "Bacterial small subunit ribosomal RNA", at positions 887 to 1382 of the family's 1533-position model. The record is from RNAcentral. Lineage: Bacteria; Pseudomonadati; Thermodesulfobacteriota; Desulfobulbia; Desulfobulbales; Desulfobulbaceae.
GCCCGCUCAGAAACUUAAAGGAAUGACGGGGCCCGCACAAGCGGUGGAGUAUGUGGUUUAAUUCGAUGCAACGCGAAGAACCUUACCUGGUCUUGACAUCCCGGAGACCCUUAGGAAACUAGGGGGUGCUUCCAUCUGGAAGAAUCUGGAGACAGGUGCUGCAUGGCUGUCGUCAGCUCGUGUCGUGAGAUGUUGGGUUAAGUCCCGCAACGAGCGCAACCCUUGCCUUUAGUUGCCAGCAGUUCGGCUGGGCACUCUAAAGGGACUGCCGGUGUUAAACCGGAGGAAGGUGGGGAUGACGUCAAGUCCUCAUGGCCUUUAUGACCAGGGCUACACACGUACUACAAUGGCCGAUACAAAGGGCAGCGACACUGCGAGGUGAAGCCAAUCCCGUAAAAUCGGUCUCAGUCCGGAUUGGAGUCCGCAACUCGACUCCAUGAAGUUGGAAUCGCUAGUAAUCGUGGAUCAGCAUGCCACGGUGAAUACGUUCCCGGGCCUU